Salvia miltiorrhiza (redroot sage) is the source of this 404-nucleotide long non-coding RNA. RefSeq lists it as uncharacterized. Lineage: Eukaryota; Viridiplantae; Streptophyta; Magnoliopsida; Lamiales; Lamiaceae. The transcript is spliced from 3 exons. The record is from RefSeq and is a predicted model, not a curated record.
AUCCGGUUCUACUCCAUCUGGUUUGGGUCCAUCCGGUUCUGGUCCUAUUUUCGAUAAUAGGUCGCCAGUGGAUGAAAACCCUAAUGUGGAGGAGGAACGUGUUGCUAGUGAUGGGCGGACAUGGGUUUAUUUCACUCGUAGUAUUCUGAGGCCGACUGGAGCUAUUCGGGCUAGGGCGACUGAUAGCUUUCAAGGUAUGCCACAUGAAAGUGGCACCAAUUGGAAGAAUUUGACUGAGGGGAUGAGGGAUUUUUAUUUUGAUGAGUUUGAGAAAGCAUUUUGUUGGGAUAAAACGCAACAUACCAGGCAUGUUAUUAAGAAAGCGUGGGUUAAGUCAGCUCGAGUGGCGUACAAGGAUUACAUCAGCAAUUGCAAGAAGGUCCUGUUGAUACAUAAGAAGAAGA